CACGGGUGCGUAACACGUAUGCAACCUACCUUAUACUGGGGAAUAACUUCGAGAAAUCGGCGCUAAUACCCCAUAACAUUGCGAAGAGGCAUCUCUUUGCACUUAAAGCUCCGGCGGUAUAAGAUGGGCAUGCGCCCAAUUAGCUAGUUGGUGAGGUAAUGGCUCACCAAGGCUACGAUUGGUAGGGGUUCUGAGAGGAUGAUCCCCCACACUGGUACUGAGACACGGACCAGACUCCUACGGGAGGCAGCAGUGAGGAAUAUUGCGCAAUGGACGAAAGUCUGACGCAGCCAUGCCGCGUGCAGGAUGACGGCCCUAUGGGUUGUAAACUGCUUUUGUAUGGGAAUAAACCCUUCUACGUGUAGAAGGCUGAAGGUACCAUAAGAAUAAACACCGGCUAACUCCGUGCCAGCAGCCGCGGUAAUACAGAGGGUGCAAGCGUUAUCCGGAUUUAUUGGGUUUAAAGGGUCCGUAAGCGGGCCGAUAAGUCAGUGGUGAAAGCCCAUAGCUCAACUAUGGAACUGCCAUUGAA
Molecule: ribosomal RNA, 532 nt
Filed under: uncultured Flavobacteriales bacterium
Lineage: Bacteria; Pseudomonadati; Bacteroidota; Flavobacteriia; Flavobacteriales
Description: bacterial SSU rRNA
Rfam family: Bacterial small subunit ribosomal RNA
Source: RNAcentral